GAUGAACGCUAGCGGCAGGCCUAACACAUGCAAGUCGAGGGGUAGAAUUAGCUUGCUAAUUUGAGACCGGCGCACGGGUGCGUAACGCGUAUGCAAUCUACCUUGUACAGGGGGAUAGCCCAGAGAAAUUUGGAUUAAUACCCCAUGGUAUAAUUAAUUUGCAUGAAUUGAUUAUUAAAGUUCCAACGGUACAAGAUGAGCAUGCGUCCCAUUAGCUAGUUGGUGUGGUAACGGCAUACCAAGGCGACGAUGGGUAGGGGUCCUGAGAGGGAGAUCCCCCACACUGGUACUGAGACACGGACCAGACUCCUACGGGAGGCAGCAGUGAGGAAUAUUGGUCAAUGGUCGGAAGACUGAACCAGCCAUGCCGCGUGCAGGAAGAAGCAUCUAUGGUGUGUAAACUGCUUUUGUACGGGAAGAAACACUCCUACGUGUAGGAGCUUGACGGUACCGUAAGAAUAAGGAUCGGCUAACUCCGUGCCAGCAGCC
RNAcentral lists this ribosomal RNA (489 nucleotides) under uncultured bacterium. Its description in RNAcentral is "bacterial SSU rRNA". It matches the Rfam family "Bacterial small subunit ribosomal RNA", at positions 28 to 516 of the family's 1533-position model. The record is from RNAcentral.